This 253-nucleotide non-coding RNA is filed under the name uncultured bacterium. RNAcentral's name for it is "partial 16S ribosomal RNA". It matches the Rfam family "Bacterial small subunit ribosomal RNA", at positions 524 to 776 of the family's 1533-position model. The record is from RNAcentral. RNAcentral also lists the same sequence under 1 other name.
UACGUACUGCGCGAACGUUAUUCGGAAUCACUGGGCUUACAGGGUGCGUAGGCGGCUUUUCAGGUCUGGUGUGAAAUCCCCCGGCUCAACCGGGGAAUGGCAUUGGAAACCGAAAGGCUUGAGGUAGCUAGAGGCAUGCGGAACUUCCGGUGGAGCGGUGAAAUGUGUUGAGAUCGGAAGGAACACCAGAGGCGAAAGCGGCAUGCUGGGGCUAUUCUGACGCUGAGGCACGAAAGCCAGGGGAGCGAACGGG